AAAAAAUUAGUUAAACUUAUAACAUUAGUAUGUCAAACUAAAAUUAUUAAUAUAUUAAUAUUUUUUA
RNAcentral lists this transfer RNA (67 nucleotides) under Drosophila macroptera. RNAcentral's name for it is "tRNA-Asp". The record is from RNAcentral. Lineage: Eukaryota; Metazoa; Arthropoda; Insecta; Diptera; Drosophilidae.